CGUCGCCCCUCCCCUCCUCAUCGUAUUGUGCGCCCAUGACAGGUCGCAUGGAGGGGGUACGCGUUGCCCUGCGCUCUUCCAUCAUUGUCUGGCAUCCACAGAUGCACACACAUUCGCUUACGCCCACACCCACACACACGCACAUCCCCAUCAUAGAAAACGCUUUUAAAAGAAAAAGGAGCCGUAGCCGGCGUACGAAAUGUGGCGCCAAGGCACCACGGCACUGCAGCCUCUGCAGCAGCAACAAAACUCGGUAGAUAAUGCAGCGGUGCCCGUGAAGUCGUCGUCGCAGCAGCAGCUGACAAGCAUGCCAUCAACGCUAUCGGAGACACUCCAUGAGUUUUACAGGGCGCACACACAGCUGGAACCGCACCAGCACCAGCAGCAGCAACAGCCGCCGAACGUGCUGGCAAACAUCAUGCUGGCCAAGGAGCGCCUCUCUGCCUCCGUGGCGCGGUCGCACAGCUGCGAUCGCAGCGUGUCGGAGGCGCCUGUCGAAACUCACCGUGAUGGCAAGAAGGGCCCACACAGCCGCCAAGGCCAAGCGGCGCGGCCGUACCCCGGCAAGAUCCGCAGCACUGUUGCUUUCUCUAGUGAAGGCGAGCGGGAAAGCAGCGCUUCUCAGAUGCGCUCCGCUUCGCCGCCGGACAGCAUCGCCACGGCUGCGCCACCACUAUGCCCAGAGGUCCCCGUAACGGCUACCUUAGACGUCGAUCCCGCGCAGCCGUCGGCGCUGUUGCAAGAUCGACGGCGUCGAAAUGCAGAAGCACGGGUGGAUUCACACGACCGCGCAGCAGCCGGGCGGCAUCCGGACCCGGGUGUCGCAUCCGUGGCUCUGCCGCCGUCUGGCACGCGAGCAGGUGCGAAUGCUGUGCUCCAUAAAAGACCCUCGCCGUCGCCAGAAGCUGCGGCGGACAACGAGCGUCAUCCCACGUCGUCUGGCGAGCUGGCCGACGAGCUUCAGCGCACCCGGCAGAAGCUGGCGGAGAUGCAACGCCUCUACAGUUUUGAGAAGCGGGCGCACCUGCAGCAGCGCACCCGGCAGCUGCGCGAAGAAGCGCAGAGGCGGCAAUCGGACGACGACAUCACGGAGCGGACGGCGCAGCUCUUGACCGACUACGAGUCACUCAUUCAAUUCCGCGACACCGCCAGCCGAGAGCGCCUGGAAGGCGUUCUGCAGCGCGUCACGGCCGAGUGGAAGCGAAGUGCCGAGAGCCUCGAGCAGACUCGCGCUGCGUGUGAGGAUGCGCUCCUUUCCCGCCUGCGCGCGACGCUUGCAGAGCAGCAGGAUGCACUGGCAAAGCGCCUCCAGCAGCACCUCUUGUCGGUGGCCAAGUCCACAGUGGAGACGGAGCGUGCGCAGCAUGCGGCCAUCGCGGCUGCCGUCCAGGAGCAAGUCGAGUCCUUCAAGGAGGAGUACCGCCGUGUACUCGAGCAAGACAUGGCGGAGCGGCAGCGGCUGAUGGAUGAGCAAGCGGCACACCGAGAGGCGCAGUGGCGCAGCUUCUUGAAGGACGAGCACGCCCGCAUGGUCGCAACCGGCGAGGUGGCUGCCCGUGAAGCGAGUCGUCGCCAGCUGGAGACGCUGCACAUUGCGAUGCGCGACAUCACGGCGCUGCGGGAGCAGCUGCUCCACGAGCAUACACGCCGGCAAGCACAGGUGGGUCAGGAGUACCUUGUGGCGUACGAAAGCCUGGCCAGCGAGUACGUUGCGUCUACGGAAGAGACGGCGGAGUACGUGCAGCGCCUGCAGCAUGACUACGCAAGCAUCAUACACGCCUUGCACAAGGAGGUGAGCCGCGUGUCAACAGAGAAGCAGGAGGCGGUGCGUCAGUCGGAGCAAUGCACUUUGCAAGUGGCGGAAGCCGUCGCGCAGCAGCUGCACUUCGCCGAGGAAUCAGUGGAUUCGCGGUGGCAGGCUCGGUGGACGGCGGAGCAGGAGGCGCACCGCGCCGCCGUGCUGCGGCUGAUGCGUCUGCACGAGGAGGCCCUAGAGAAGGUGCGCAGCACCAGUGCCGCCAAGGAGGCCAAGCUAAAGGAGGAGCAUGAAAGAGAACACGCAGCAUGGGAGGAGCAUCUGACGCGCCAGCAGGAGCAACAGACUGCCGCCGUUGACGACGCGCUCCGGAGUGCCCAGGCGACGGUGCGGAGAUUGGAAAGGGAAAAGGAGGGUCUCUCGGUGCAAGUUCAGCAGCUGAAGGAUCAGCUGCGGCGCGAGGAGCUUGCGCACGAGGCAGCCGUGCAGGACGCGCGUCAGGCCGAAGAAGCACGCUACACCUCGCAACUGAACAGCCUCGAGGCGGCCUACGAUGCGGUACUGCAACAGUACAAGGAGAAACUUAAGACGGUCUGCAAUGGCAAUGACGGUUCUGGUGCCGGCUUCACAACCGCGACGACCGCGGUGAAACGAGUGAUGGAGCUUGAGAAGGAGCUGCACGAGGCUCGGGCGGAGCACGCGACUCGAGUGCAGCAGGCCGUAGAGGAAGCGGCAGCGCUAUGGUCAGCUCGGCUCGAGGAGUGCCGUCAGCAACAGCGAGCCCACUGUAAAGCGAUGGAGCAGCAGCACCGUGCGCUGCGGGCGGCACUCCUCGAGGAGGUGCAGCGGCGCGAGCAAGCACUGGAGGAAAACUGUGUAGCCGAGCGCAGGGCCCACCAAGAAGAGCUGCAAGACGUCAUCAUGAGGGAGAAAGAGGCCUCGCAGCGUGCACUGGAGCGUCUCGAGCGGCAGCACGCUGCGGCGCAACGCCAGGUGGAAGCAGAAGCGGAGAGGCGCGUGCGUGCCGGCGAGGAUGCACUGGCGGUGCGCGAGAAGCAGCUCGAAAUUGCCGAAGCAGAGUGGCGACGUCGCCGCGCGGAGGACAAGGAAGCCUCACUGCAGCAACUGACGGCACACGUCGCUGCUCAGCACGCGAAGCAGCUCGCAGAGUUGGAAGAACAAGAGGCCAUCUUGCGCAGUAAGCACGCCCAGCUCGCGCGGCAGCAGGCCGUGAUGGAGCAAGACAUACGGAGGGUCGUUCGAGGUGAGAUGGAGAUGCGGCUGGCGGAGCAGCUGGCCGCCGCCGAAAAGGACUGGAUGCGACUGCUGGAAACUGAGCUGCUGCAGCGCUUCACCACGUGGCAGGAGUUGCGGAUGCAAGAGCUGGCGUGUGUGCAGCAGCUCCACAGCGAGGAGAUGCGUCUGCAUGACGAGCGCCACGCAGUCCAGAUGGCCGCGUUGCAAGAUGCGCAGCAACGCCAUCUCUCUCAGGAGGCAGAGGCCAUGCGCGCGCGCGAGGCAGCCUGGGCGGCCGCACGCACUGCUUCGCUCGACGCCUACAGUGAGGCGGCCGCUGCCAAGUUGCAGGAAGUGCUGGCGGUGGAGAAAGCCCAGUGGCACACCGCUCAGCAGCAGCACGCGGCGGAACGAGACGCCAGCAUCGAAACUGCGGCUGCACGCGUCGCGGAGCACUUUGCGAUCGCAGAGGCCACUCGUGCGCAGCUGGAGGAGAAGAUGCGCUCGAGCUACCUUGCAACUCUGGAGCAACAGCAAGCAAAGAUGUCCGCACUCCUGGCGGAGCAGCGUCGCCGUCACGAGGACGCCAUCGCGCAGGUGAGGGCGUCGUCCGCCGAGCUGGCGCAGCAGCAGGCCGCGCAGUUUGAGAAGGACCGCGAGGCACGCGAACGGGAGCAUGAGGCUCAUGUGCGAGAGGUAAGGGAGGCCCUCGAGCGGCAGUUGGCUGCCCAGCGCUCCCAGCACGCAGCGGCGCUUGCAGCAGAACGCUCGGUGGCGCAGGAUGGCAUCACGCGCCUCCAGCAGCAAGCGGACGCGGCGCGCGAGGCGUAUGAGAACGCCGCAUCUGCGCGGAUGCAGGAUAUGCGUCGCCUGUACGAGCAGCAGAUUGCAGAGCUGCAGCAGCGUUGCGACGCGCAGGCAAGACAGCUAAGCAGCAUAGAAGCGGGGUCGUACCUGCUGGAGCAGCGCGUUCGAGACGAGCAGGAGGCGACGCUGCGCGCCGAGUACGAGGCGAGCAUCGCGGGCCUUCGCAACGCUAUCGAGGAGCGAAAUAGGGGCUACGCCGAGCUACAAGCCUCCCUGUACACGCGCGUGCAAGCGGAGGCGGACCGCAUUCAAGCUGGUGCGGACGAGAGGGUAGCCUGCUUCAUGGAGCAGCAGCAGAAGCAACUUGCCGAGCUGCUCCUCGCCCACGAGCGAGCCCUUGGGGAGCAGCAGCAGCGCCAGCAGGAGGAGCUGGCGCGACUGCAGGUUCGCCAUGAGGUGGAUCUCAAGGCGCAGGCGUGCAAACUCCGCGAAGAGCACGAGGCCACCGAAGCGGCUCUGCAGUCCACGUGGGAGGCCCAGCAGGAAAGCUGGCAGCAACUCCUCGAGGAUGAGCGCCGCGACCGACGCGCCGCAGACGAACGCGCAACUGCAGCCGCGGCCGACGCGGCCGAGCUCCGUGUUUCGUGGGAGCAGCAGCAAGCAGCGGCCUAUCGCGCACUGGACGAGCAGUACCGCGGGUUACUGGAGCAGAUGCAGCACGAUAUGCAAGUGGAGCGCGAAGAGCUUGCGCGUCGUUGUCUUGAGGAGGAGGAACGGCGCUUCGCAGCCAAGAUGCUGCAGCGUCAGCACGCUCACCGUCGACCGCCUGAGGCUCAGCUGCAGCAGAAGCCGAGCGUCUCCACACAUGCCUUCCCCGCACCGGACACUCCCAUUCUUGUCACGGCACCGGAGUCCCGAACGCCUCUCGACAGGAGGCGCAGUAGUGGUGCUGCAACCGUGACCCUCUCGACUCCCGCUGCUCCGUGCUCGGCGACCGCGCAGGGAAGCCCUCUGCUCAUCUCUCCAGCUGCUCCCGUUGAACUUCCGGCAGCGCAUCACCAUCACAGCCAUCACCACAACCACGAGCAGGAGCCGCGUGCAGAUUUGGUGCAAAGGUCGAAGCAGCGUCUUCGGCAGCUGUGGGACGUGCUGGAGGUUCCCUCUGAAGACCAACGCACCUUUCUCAACUACGCAGACUCGCUUGAGCAAGAGGCACCAGCGGCGGUGUUGCAAGACGCGCUGCUGAGGGAGCAGCGACGGUUGGAGGCGCAGCUGCCUCUCUUAGAGGCCCUGACACGUCGCGAGUACGUGCAGCGGCAGUUGCGCGCCCUGGCCAAUGUCCGACCCUUGGCAUCACUCUCCAUUAACAGCAAGUCUGAUGCUAAACUGAAGCGCUGGAGCGCCGAGGACAGCGAUUACGAUACCGAUGACGCCGUCCACGUCUCCGUCUCCGCCACUUCACCAUCGUUCACUGGCGUGCUUACCGAUGGUAAGAAGAGUGCUACUACAUCGGCGGCCGUUUCGCCGCCGGCCAAGACGCGAGGCAAGGCGGAGGGCAAGCAACUCGAGCCGCUGCAGCUGGAGUUGCAGCGGCUGACAGAGCAGCUCCGCCGCGACAUCACGCAGCACGAGAAAGAGUACGGGCAGCUCUUCUGCGUCCACGGCACGCGCGUGAUGGACACGCUGUGACCCUCCCACGCCUGUGCGGGGGGGAGAGGGGGCAAAGGGGAGUUCCAACUGCAACGCUGCACCCAGGCAUUGCAAGCGCGCACGCAACACAACGCGCUCAUUCAGCCGCAUGUGCCAUCAGAAAGAGCCCGCAUACACACACGCUUCUCCCGCUCCGUACAGAAGCGGCGGGGAACUGCCGCAUGCAUCUCUCGGCAUGCGCGCACGUAACCAUAGACGGACUUCCUCCCCCUCCUCAGGAUACGCAUGCACGUUCACACGGAAAGAGAGAGAGCAGCGC
RNAcentral lists this unclassified non-coding RNA (5768 nucleotides) under Leishmania donovani. RNAcentral's name for it is "gene:LdHU3.21.1640(CDS-product:hypothetical_prote in_conserved)". The record is from RNAcentral. Lineage: Eukaryota; Euglenozoa; Kinetoplastea; Trypanosomatida; Trypanosomatidae.